AUGCUUGUCGAGACAAACAAGCAUGAAUAAUACUAUAUUGUUUACAAGCUUCUUAAGUUGGUAUUAAUUCUGCCAGUAGCUACUGCUAGUGUUGAAAGGGUGUUCUCUUCAAUGAACUAUGUGAAGAAUAAGCUAAGGAGAAAAAUGGGUGAUGAUUACUUAAACAAUUGUUUGGUUACAUUUGUUGAGAGGGAAUUCUUCAAUCAAGUAAAGGAUGAGGAUGUCAUCAAUCUCUUCCAAAAAGGCGAUCGCAAAGUUAUAUUGUAA
Molecule: ribosomal RNA, 267 nt
Filed under: Triticum aestivum (bread wheat)
Lineage: Eukaryota; Viridiplantae; Streptophyta; Magnoliopsida; Poales; Poaceae
Description: partial small subunit ribosomal RNA
Source: RNAcentral